AGUGAACGCUGGCGGUAGGCCUAACACAUGCCAGUCGAACGGCAGCACAGUAAGAGCUUGCUCUUACGGGUGGCGAGUGGCGGACGGGUGAGGAAUACAUCGGAAUCUACUUUUUCGUGGGGGAUAACGUAGGGAAACUUACGCUAAUACCGCAUACGACCUACGGGUGAAAGCAGGGGAUCUUCGGACCUUGCGCGAUUGAAUGAGCCGAUGUCGGAUUAGCUAGUUGGCGGGGUAAAGGCCCACCAAGGCGACGAUCCGUAGCUGGUCUGAGAGGAUGGUCAGCCACACUGGAACUGAGACACGGUACAGACUCCUACAGGAAGCAGCAGUGGGGAAUAUUGGACGAUGGGCGCAAGCCUGAUCCAGCCAUACCGCGUGGGUGAAGAAGGCCUUCGGGUUGUAAAGCCCUUUUGUUGGGAAAGAAGAGCAGCAGGUUAAUACCCCGCUGUUCUGACGGUACCCAAAGAAUAAGCACCGGCUAACUUCGUG
Molecule: ribosomal RNA, 492 nt
Filed under: uncultured bacterium
Lineage: Bacteria
Description: partial 16S ribosomal RNA
Rfam family: Bacterial small subunit ribosomal RNA
Source: RNAcentral